UUCAGUGCUUUACCUUGACAUAUACCAAAAUCAGAAAGAUACAAAGAUUAGCCUAGCCCCUGUGCAAGGAUGAUGCACAAAUUUGUAAAUCAUUUUGUAUUUUU
Molecule: small nuclear RNA, 104 nt
Organism: Acomys russatus (golden spiny mouse)
Lineage: Eukaryota; Metazoa; Chordata; Mammalia; Rodentia; Muridae
Source: RefSeq, a predicted model, not a curated record